GUCGAGGGGCAGCAUAAUGGAUAGCAAUAUCUAUGGUGGCGACCGGCGCACGGGUGCGUAACGCGUAUGCAACCUACCUUUAACAGGGGGAUAACACUGAGAAAUUGGUACUAAUACCCCAUAAUAUCAUAGAAGGCAUCUUUUAUGGUUGAAAAUUCCGAUGGUUAGAGAUGGGCAUGCGUUGUAUUAGCUAGUUGGUGGGGUAACGGCUCACCAAGGCGACGAUACAUAGGGGGACUGAGAGGUUAACCCCCCACACUGGUACUGAGACACGGACCAGACUCCUACGGGAGGCAGCAGUGAGGAAUAUUGGUCAAUGGACGCAAGUCUGAACCAGCCAUGCCGCGUGCAGGAUGACGGCUCUAUGAGUUGUAAACUGCUUUUGUACGAGGGUAAACGCAGAUACGUGUAUCCGUCUGAAAGUAUCGUACGAAUAAGGAUCGGCUAACUCCGUGCCAGCAGCCGCGGUAAUACGGAGGAUUCAAGCGUUAUCCGGAUUUAUUGGGUUUAAAGGGUGCGUAGGCGGUUUGAUAAGUUAGAGGUGAAAUUUCGGGGCUCAACCCUGAACGUGCCUCUAAUACUGUUGAGCUAGAGAGUAGUUGCGGUAGGCGGAAUGUAUGGUGUAGCGGUGAAAUGCUUAGAGAUCAUACAGAACACCGAUUGCGAAGGCAGCUUACCAAACUAUAUCUGACGUUGAGGCACGAAAGCGUGGGGAGCAAACAGGAUU
Molecule: ribosomal RNA, 727 nt
Filed under: uncultured bacterium
Lineage: Bacteria
Description: bacterial SSU rRNA
Rfam family: Bacterial small subunit ribosomal RNA
Source: RNAcentral